Molecule: long non-coding RNA, 203 nt
Organism: Notothenia coriiceps (black rockcod)
Lineage: Eukaryota; Metazoa; Chordata; Actinopteri; Perciformes; Nototheniidae
Exons: 2
Source: RefSeq, a predicted model, not a curated record
AUCUAAAGCUCUUAAUAAAUCAUAAAUGUCUCUUGUUCUCCCUGCAGGCCCCGCGGUUAGCAGAGCGGUACUGUGUGUGCCACCUGGCCACCGGGGACAUGCUGAGGGCCAUGGUGGCCUCCGGCUCGCAGCUCGGCAAGAGGCUCAAGGAGACCAUGGACGCUGGCAAACUGGUCAGUGAUGAAUGGUGGUGGAGCUCAUAA